UUUGGGCUAUCAGCGAAUAUUGUACAUCAUCAUCAUAACCUUUUUUUACUAUUUCGUUUUACAUCAGUUUUAUACCUUCAAAUAGACAUUUGUUUCCGUUCUUCCUAAUAUCUAUAGAAUCCAAGGUGUCACUGAUCUGAUUUCUUUUAGGACAUCGAUUUGUUUUGACAUUUCUGUAAGUGAAACAUAUUCUCGUGUAUAGAACUAUAGAAACCUAUAGCCGGUAACUGAACAUGCUGAAGUGCCCACACUUGUUGAGCCAUAGAACAUUAAAAGUGUUUUCUUGACCUUCCGUUUUGUUUUUUUUGUGUGCACAUUACAAGGGAAGUGGACAAAGAUAUCAUAAGAAGAUAGCGUUUUGGAUGUGAAUGCUAUAAUUGAUACAACAUUCAGUUUAAGAUAGCUUUUCAAAAUACCCAUGCUAUCUUUGUAUUUUCGGAUUCUAAAAACUUUGAUUUAGAUAGCAUCUAUUAUCUUCCCCGGAGUAUCUUCUCUCUACAUAUUCAUGUUAUCUUUCAGAGUUCCAAGCAGGCUAAGAUUAAACUCUUCAUCGUUCUAUUUCUCCUUCUUUCAAUACAAAACCCUAAUCUCAAUCUCACCAUCUCUCCUUCUAUCCGCGUCUCAUAUCCUCUCCUUUUCUUUUUCUCAAAUCAAUUGAAAAUCCAAAGGUUCGUACUAUAACCCGAAUUUCACUUCUCUCUACACUCUUUACUCAAAUGGUGUCCGCCACUCUAUCCAGAACCAGCCUUGAACAUCGCCGAGAAAGGCUUCCCAAUCUCUGCCUAUAACCGAACAACAUCCAAAGUCGACGAAACCCUAGAACGCGCCGCCGUCGAAGGAAACCUCCCGGUCUCCGGCCAAUACUCCACACGCGACUUCGUCUUCUCGCUCCGAGUUCAUUAGCAGAUCUAAAGUUUCCAGAUUGUCCUUUUAUGAAGGGUCGUGGUGUGGGUGCUUCUGGAGUGGGCAGAACAAGAUUCCUAUUGCUGCAGCAUCGAAAGGCAACUGCGAAGGGGCCCUGCCAAAACGUUGGCAACGCUUCAAAAACAAGAUGGAGAUGAUUUCAAGGAGAGUGUUGAAGGAGACUGACUUUAGCUGUUCUGAUGGCAUAGCCCAAAACAAGGCAA
Long non-coding RNA from Brassica napus (rape), 1127 nucleotides. RefSeq lists it as uncharacterized. Lineage: Eukaryota; Viridiplantae; Streptophyta; Magnoliopsida; Brassicales; Brassicaceae. The transcript is spliced from 4 exons. The record is from RefSeq and is a predicted model, not a curated record.